UACGUAGGGGGCAAGCGUUAUCCGGAUUUACUGGGUGUAAAGGGAGCGUAGACGGCAUGGCAAGCCAGAUGUGAAAUACCGGGGCUCAACCCCGGGACUGCAUUUGGAACUGUUAAGCUGGAGUGCGGGAGGGGCAGGCGGAAUUCCUGGUGUAGCGGUGAAAUGCGUAGAUAUCAGGAGGAACACCGGCGGCGAAGGCGGCCUGCUGGACCGCGACUGACGUUGAGGCUCGAAAGCGUGGGGAGCGAACAGG
Molecule: ribosomal RNA, 253 nt
Filed under: uncultured Blautia sp.
Lineage: Bacteria; Bacillati; Bacillota; Clostridia; Lachnospirales; Lachnospiraceae
Description: partial 16S ribosomal RNA
Rfam family: Bacterial small subunit ribosomal RNA
Source: RNAcentral